RNAcentral lists this ribosomal RNA (590 nucleotides) under Talaromyces radicus. Its description in RNAcentral is "eukaryotic LSU rRNA". It matches the Rfam family "Eukaryotic large subunit ribosomal RNA", at positions 1 to 594 of the family's 3401-position model. The record is from RNAcentral. Lineage: Eukaryota; Fungi; Ascomycota; Eurotiomycetes; Eurotiales; Trichocomaceae.
UUGACCUCGGAUCAGGUAGGGCUACCCGCUGAACUUAAGCAUAUCAAUAAGCGGAGGAAAAGAAACCAACAGGGAUUGCCUCAGUAACGGCGAGUGAAGCGGCAAGAGCUCAAAUUUGAAAUCUGGCUCCUUCGGGGCCCGAGUUGUAAUUUGGAGAGGAUGCUUCGGGCGUGGCCCCCAUCUAAGUGCCCUGGAACGGGCCGUCAUAGAGGGUGAGAAUCCCGUCUGGGAUGGGUGGUCCCGCCCGUGUGAAGCUCCUUCGAAGAGUCGAGUUGUUUGGGAAUGCAGCUCUAAGAGGGUGGUAAAUUUCAUCUAAAGCUAAAUAUUGGCCGGAGACCGAUAGCGCACAAGUAGAGUGAUCGAAAGAUGAAAAGCACUUUGAAAAGAGAGUUAAACAGCACGUGAAAUUGUUGAAAGGGAAGCGUUGGCAACCAGACUCGCCCGGGAGGGCUCAGCCGGCACGUGUGCCGGUGCACUCCCCCCCGGGCGGGCCAGCGUCGGUUUGGGCGGUCGGUCAAAGGCCCCGGGAAUGUAGCACCCUCCGGGGUGCCUUAUAGCCCGAGGCGCCAUGCGACCUGCCCGGACCGAGG